Molecule: non-coding RNA, 311 nt
Organism: Penaeus vannamei (Pacific white shrimp)
Lineage: Eukaryota; Metazoa; Arthropoda; Malacostraca; Decapoda; Penaeidae
Source: RefSeq, a predicted model, not a curated record
CUCGCUGUCUUCACCACCUGGACUCUGUGUGCCGUCCUUACCGCCUAUGACAUCUUUCCACCAGCUUCCCCAGCCAGGACUGACACCACAAACUGGAAACCUAAUGGGCAAACUCACCCUGGUUCAGAGAUGCCAUACCCUGGUCAGUGGGGAGUGCCAACCGUGCCAGUCGCAGGAGUGGUUGGGAUGCUCGGAGGCUCCUUGGCAUCGAUCAUCGAGAGCAUCGGAGACUACUACGCAUGCGCCAAGAUAGCGGGUGCCCCGAGACCCCCACCAGUGCCAUCAAUCGAGGGCAUUGCAUAGGGCAUCGG